UUUCUCUCUGCCAAGUAGUCCGUGAGGUGAGAACAGGGCUGUUUACUGCACAAAUGCAAAAUCGAGUACAAGAGGAAACAACAGAGGAACAAAAUUCAGACCUGAGUCCUGGUGGAAGUUCCAUGAUAUUAGUUCCACUGAAGCUUUUAUUUGAGACGUUGGCAAUUUUGCUCUUCAGAUCCCUGACACCAGCUGGAAUUUUCAGUUCUACACGGAGGUAUUGUAGAAUCCAUGGUCUUCAGCCAUUCCUUGAACUUCAGAAAAUUCACUCAGGUCUGGAAGAAGGAUAUGUUCCUUGAAGGGUGCCAGAUGGUGAAGACUGUUGAUUUGAAGAAGACUGUGCAGAAAGGAGGCUUCUCUAGCCUGUAGAAGGGGGCAUUUGGAUAUCAAGGUCCCAGCCCUGAUGCUAUCUAUACCUGAGAAGAACAUUCUGGUGGAACCCUGCCUCAAGGGAAGCCUUCCACAGAAAUGGAGCUCGCUGGGGCAGCUCAGGUUGAACACAUAGCACUGCCAGGCAAGGGACUCCUCAGCCACCCUUAUCAAGCUCCAAUGGCCAGCCUGCCUCCUCUAACUGCUACAAAGAGAAUUUUCAGGAAGAAUCCAACCCAUCUCAUAUAGGCCUUGAACAGUAAUGCUCACAAUGUUUGGACACUUCAGAGAACAUAACUUUCAAUGUCUACAGAUACUCUCUUGGGUAUGUGCAAGCUGAGAUUUUUCAUGGAUGUAGAACUAAGCAAAUGACGUGCUUCCCAUAUUUAAUCAUAGAAUCAUAGAAUUGCUCAGGUUGGAAAAGACCUUAAAGAUUGUGCUAUGCAUGAGAUGCAUAUUAAAAACUGUGUUUCUUUAGUUUCAGAGAAGAAACAAGAUUCAGACUGAUAGAUUUUAAGAAAGGUCCUGCCUUGUAUAGGACAUUUGACAAAGCUUGAAGUAAUGAAGCUAGGAACCUGUCCAGUGAUUACAGCUACUGCUGUGGCACAAAGAGAAGAGGGAACAGUUUGUCACAGAGGUUUCUCAUGUAUUGGUGGACUGCAGCAAAAUAAAUGAACAAGAAACUUUCAAUACCUUGCAGUUACCCAUACUGUGGUGUGUACAUUGUACAAUGUAUAUCUUUCUUCAACAGAACAUAGGUCAUAGAAAAUCCUGUCUCUAAUACAAUAUCUAUUCCCUAUGCAAAAUGUUUUGUAAUGAUGGAAGAGUAAGCUGCUGUGUAUAGAGAAAAUAUUGGCUUACCAAUCAACCAUCUGGUGUACAGUGGGAACGGUCUGAGUAGCUUUCUCAGUUGGAACAUUUGGAAAAUGAAUAUACUGUUGC
This is a long non-coding RNA of Gallus gallus (chicken), 1311 nucleotides long. Lineage: Eukaryota; Metazoa; Chordata; Aves; Galliformes; Phasianidae. The record is from Ensembl.